AGGCAUUCAUCCAAACCAAGUCAUUUCAGGUUCUGGCCAGUUGGAGUAGCUGAAUACAGACACAGAGAUGCUACUUAAGGACAAGAUGAAGUAAUGAGAGAGCAGAGGGAGGAGGAGAUGCAAGAGAGAAGACAAGAAUUUGUUAGAAUAUUUAAAGAGCUCAGUCAUAGACAUCAAGUGCAUCUUGUCCUGGUCUUUCAGUUUGAAGAUUCUGUACUGCAUUAGUUUAUAACUCCGAACUCCAUAUAGAGUGUUGGCAGGUUCUCCUCACAGCUCAGUCACACAGAACAAUCCUUUUCCAGCCCCAGAACCGUUGCAGCCUCAGGCCCAAAGAGUGCAAACAACAUCAAAUUGAGGAGAGCAAACUGGGAGGAUGGGACUGCAUUACCUGGAGCUGGAAUUGGACAAUUAACCCCAAGA
This is a non-coding RNA of Agelaius phoeniceus (red-winged blackbird), 420 nucleotides long. The record is from RefSeq and is a predicted model, not a curated record. NCBI's taxonomy places the organism in Eukaryota, Metazoa, Chordata, Aves, Passeriformes, Icteridae.